This is a non-coding RNA of Arachis ipaensis, 748 nucleotides long. The record is from RefSeq and is a predicted model, not a curated record. Lineage: Eukaryota; Viridiplantae; Streptophyta; Magnoliopsida; Fabales; Fabaceae.
ACAAUUGAAGAUUGAAGAAAAACAAAGGUAAAGUAAGUUCAUAUGAGAGUUUCAGGCUUCAUGUAAGAGACAUCUCUCCUCAGUCAUGCGGCAAGCUUCUUCAGCUAUUUCCACCGGUAAUCGUCGAUGAUUCUCAAAGACAGCAGCAUUCCUUGCUCUCCAGAUGCACCAGACAAGGUUCGCAGCAAGCUUCUUCUUCCUUCGAGAUUCAAAGACUCCAUUAAAAAUAACCACCAUCUCCAUGGCUCCAUAGCUUGAUUCAGUAGCGGAAGUCCUACAAGAUCCCAUGCUUCAACCACGCUUUCACAUCCCCACAGGCAAUGGCGUACCGAUUCCUCCAUAGCAUCACAAAUCAGACAGGUUCCAAAACUGGAACACUACUUCAUGUCCCGAAGCCACCGAAUAUUCUCCAGAUUUCUCCUUUUACCAGAAGAAGAAUCCAACUCCAGCAGCUACAGCAGGGAGAGAUGCAUAAAUCUUUCGCAUGGCCAUUGGUGUAACGAUAGAUUGAUAGGAAAGAAUAAGAGCCUUGUGAUGACUAUAUAUAUAUAUAUAUAUAUGAGUCCAGAGAAAAUAUUAAGAAGAUCAGAUACUUUGUUAAUGAUGGGAAUUUGGGAAGCAAACAAUGGUUUAUAAAGGGACGGAACGGGUAAAAAAAAGAGAAAGCAUAGUGUUUUAUCUUAUCUUAUUUUAAUUUAAUCCAUUGGGGUAAGGAAUUAAAUUUAAAAGUGCUGAAAGAUUUGUUCCA